RNAcentral lists this small RNA (262 nucleotides) under Castor canadensis (American beaver). RNAcentral's name for it is "Metazoan signal recognition particle RNA (ENSCCNG00000013882.1)". It matches the Rfam family "Metazoan signal recognition particle RNA", at positions 1 to 228 of the family's 299-position model. From Rfam's summary of the family: The signal recognition particle (SRP) is a universally conserved ribonucleoprotein. It is involved in the co-translational targeting of proteins to membranes. Lineage: Eukaryota; Metazoa; Chordata; Mammalia; Rodentia; Castoridae. The record is from RNAcentral.
GCCGGGGGCGGUGGUGCGCGCCUGUAGUCCUAGCUACUCGGGAGGCUGAGGCAGGAGGAUCCCUUGAGUCCAGGAGUUCUGGGCUGCAGUGCGCUAUGCCGAUCGGGUGUCCGCACUAAGUUCGGCAUCAAUAUGGUGAGCUCCCGGGAGCGGGGGACCACCAGGUUGCCUAAGGAGGGGUGAACCGGCCCAGGUCGGAAAGUGAUUUCAUAUUAAAAGCCUGAUCCAAUUCAGACUGAGAUGAAAGUAAGGUCUGGCCUUA